AGUGAACGCUGGCGGCAGGCCUAACACAUGCAAGUCGAACGGCAACACGAUGAGGGUUGGCGCUUAGCGGUGGCGUGGGGCGGGCGUGUGAGAUGUACAUCAGACUCCACGAUGGCGGGGGGGAUAUCGUGGAAACAGUUACUCUAAUAGCAUAUAGUACCAACGGCAGAGAGCGGGAGCUCUUGGCAUCUUGCCCUAGUAUGUGAGCCGAUGUCGGAUUAGCUAGUUGGUGGGGUAACGGCCCACCAAGGCGACGAUCCGUAGCUGGUCUGAGAGGAUGAUCAGCCACACUGGAACUGAGACACGGUCCAGACUCCUACGGGAGGCAGCAGUGGGGAAUAUUGCACAAUGGGCGCAAGCCUGAUGCAGCCAUGCCGCGUGGGUGAAGAAGGCCUUCGGGUUGUAAAGCACUUUUAUUGGGAAAGAAAAGCAGAAGGUUAAUACCUCGCCGUUUUGACGGUACCCAAAGAAUAAGCACCGGCUAACUCCGUG
RNAcentral lists this ribosomal RNA (492 nucleotides) under uncultured bacterium. RNAcentral's name for it is "partial 16S ribosomal RNA". It matches the Rfam family "Bacterial small subunit ribosomal RNA", at positions 29 to 507 of the family's 1533-position model. The record is from RNAcentral.